UGAUACUGAAGAGCUUGAAUGGACUAGAGGUAGGCGGAAUGUGACAAGUAGCGGUGAAAUGCAUAGAUAUGUCACAGAACACCGAUUGCGAAGGCAGCUUACUAUGGUUUUAUUGACGCUGAGGCACGAAAGCGCGGGGAUCAAACAGGAUUAGAUACCCUGGUAGUCCACGCCCUAAACGAUGAAUACUCGCUGUUAGCGAUACACAGUUAGCGGCUAAGCGAAAGCGUUAAGUAUUCCACCUGGGGAGUACGGUCGCAAGAUUGAAACUCAAAGGAAUUGACGGGGGCCCGCACAAGCGGAGGAGCAUGUGGUUUAAUUCGAUGAUACGCGAGGAACCUUACCCGGGCUUGAAAGUUAGUGAAUGAUUUAGAGAUAGAUCAGUGAGCAAUCACACGAAACUAGGUGCUGCAUGGCUGUCGUCAGCUCGUGCCGUGAGGUGUUGGGUUAAGUCCCGCAACGAGCGCAACCCCUAUGUUUAGUUGCCAGCACGUUAUGGUGGGGACUCUAAACAGACUGCCUGUGCAAACAGAGAGGAAGGAGGGGACGACGUCAAGUCAUCAUGGCCCUUACGUCCGGGGCUACACACGUGCUACAAUGGAUGGUACAGAGGGCAGCAAGCUGGCAACAGCAAGCCAAUCUCCAAAAGCCAUUCACAGUUCGGAUAGAGGUCUGCAACUCGACCUCUUGAAGUUGGAUUCGCUAGUAAUCGCAUAUCAGCAAUGAUGCGGUGAAUACGUUCCCGGGCCUUGUACACACCGCCCGUCAAGCCAUGGAAGUUGGGGGUACCUAAAGUAUGUAACCGCAAGGAGCU
This 814-nucleotide ribosomal RNA is filed under the name uncultured bacterium. RNAcentral describes it as "bacterial SSU rRNA". It matches the Rfam family "Bacterial small subunit ribosomal RNA", at positions 628 to 1454 of the family's 1533-position model. The record is from RNAcentral.